UCCGGUUGAUCCUGCCAGAGGCCGCUGCUAUCCGGCUGGGACUAAGCCAUGCUAGUCUAGGGGCUUGUACCCCUUCGGGGGUGCAAGCACCGGCGGACGGCUCAGUAACACGUGGACAACCUGCCCUCGGGUGGGGGAUAACCCCGGGAAACUGGGGCUAAUCCCCCAUAGGUGAUGGGUGCUGGAAUGCCCCAUCUCCGAAAGCGCUCAGCGCCCGAGGAUGGGUCUGCGGCGGAUUAGGUAGUUGGUGGGGUAACGGCCCACCAAGCCUAAGAUCCGUACGGGCUGUGGGAGCAGGAGCCCGGAGAUGGACCCUGAGACAAGGGUCCAGGCCCUACGGGGCGCAGCAGGCGCGAAACCUCCGCAAUGCGGGAAACCGCGACGGGGUUAGCCGGAGUGCCCGUGCAUUGCACGGGCUGUCGGGGUGCCUAAACAGCACCCCAUAGCAAGGGCCGGGCAAGGCCGGUGGCAGCCGCCGCGGUAAGACCGGCGGCCCGAGUGGCGGCCACUCUUAUUGGGCCUAAAGCGUCCGUAGCCGGCCCAGUAAGUCCCCCGGGAAAUCUGGUCGCUUAACGAUCAGACUUCCGGGGGAUACUGCUGGGCUAGGGACCGGGAGAGGC
Molecule: ribosomal RNA, 620 nt
Filed under: uncultured archaeon
Lineage: Archaea
Description: bacterial SSU rRNA
Rfam family: Archaeal small subunit ribosomal RNA
Source: RNAcentral